AGAGUUUGAUCCUGGCUCAGAAUCAACGCUGGCGGCGCGCUUAACACAUGCAAGUCGAACGAGAAAGGGGAGCAAUCCCCGAGUAAAGUGGCGUACGGGUGAGUAACACGUGGGUAAUCUGCCUCUGGGUGGGGAAUAACUCUGGGAAACCGGAGCUAAUACCGCAUAAGACCGGAAGGUGAAAGGCGAAAGUCGCCGAGAGAGGAGCCCGCGGCCGGUUAGCUUGAUGGUGGGGUAACGGCCUACCAUGGCAGAGAUCAGUAGCCGGCCUGAGAGGGCACACGGCCACACUGGCACUGAAACACGGGCCAGACUCCUACGGGAGGCAGCAGUGGGGAAUCUUGCACAAUGGGGGAAACCCUGAUGCAGCGACGCCGCGUGAGCGAUGAAGCCCUUCGGGGUGUAAAGCUCUUUCGGCAGGGACGAUAAUGACGGUACCUGAAGAAGAAGCUGCGGCUAACUACGUGCCAGCAGCCGCGGUAAUACGUAGGCAGCGAGCGUUGUUCGGAGUUACUGGGCGUAAAGCGUGCGUAGGCGGUGGUCCAAGUCUGGUGUGAAAUCUCCCGGCUCAACUGGGAGGGUGCGCCGGAAACUGGGCCGCUGGAGUAUGGGAGAGGCAAGCGGAAUUCCAGGUGUAGCGGUGAAAUGCGUAGAUAUCUGGAGGAACACCCGUGGUGCAGACGGCUUGCUGGACCAUCACUGACGCUGAGGCACGAAAGCGUGGGUAGCAAACAGGAUUAGAUACCCUGGUAGUCCACGCCCUAAACGAUGCAUACUUGGUGUGGGCAGUUCAGUCUGUC
Molecule: ribosomal RNA, 800 nt
Filed under: uncultured bacterium
Lineage: Bacteria
Description: bacterial SSU rRNA
Rfam family: Bacterial small subunit ribosomal RNA
Source: RNAcentral